Long non-coding RNA from Chenopodium quinoa (quinoa), 802 nucleotides. RefSeq lists it as uncharacterized. The record is from RefSeq and is a predicted model, not a curated record. Lineage: Eukaryota; Viridiplantae; Streptophyta; Magnoliopsida; Caryophyllales; Amaranthaceae. The transcript is spliced from 3 exons.
AUCUCCAAAAAAAUAUAUUUAAUAAAAAUAAAAAAGAGAGAGAAAUACUGGCAAUCAUAUAUUUCAGGGUAAAUUCAUCUGAUCUGUAAAUCGAGAAAAUGGUAAAAUAAAAAAAGCUUUGGCUCCAAUGUUUUCCCACUUAAAAUCAGUUACUUAUCAGUAUCACCUCACUUUCACUGCGUCUCACAUUCUCACAGGCUGCAGCACACUCAUAUUAACCUCAAUUGUCAGUUUCUCAAAGAUUUGUCGAUUAGGGAUUAAAUUUGCUCACUUGUCUGCGGCGUCUCUCAUUCUAAAUCCGAUUCUGGCUCCCUCAAUUUAUACAAGAAGCAUCUGUUGAUCUAUUAAUUUAUAGUGGUUAUCUCAUCCUAUAUAUCAAGGUAUUAACAAAAAAGUAAGGAAAGGGAAGAAGAAAAAGAAGGCAACAAGUAAAACGAAGAAUGUGAUGACAUUGAUCAAAUGGAAUUUAUUUUAGAUUCUCCAUCGUUAUUCCUCGUUUGGACAUUAUUUUUUUCUUCUAUUUAUUAGCUAGACUAAUAGUAUACUCAUCAAGAUGGAUUUGGUAUUGAAAAUUAGUUGUUAUUACUUUUGAUUAUAUAUUCACUAUUUUUAUUGGUUUGGGAUUAUCUAUUCAAAUGCUUAUUAUUUACUUGUCUUUUGUACUUAACAUUUCUCUACUCUAAUAACUUCACAAGAAUGCAACGAUAUCUUUCCACUCCUUCAACUUAUUAUAGCAAUAUAUAAAUAAUUACAAUAGAAAAAAGUAAUCAAUUUAUUUUAGUUUGUUCAAUUUGUAGGUAAC